UCUUCUACAAUUGUUUCUCAUAUGAAAAUGAUUCCAAGAGCAAUGUUACUCUUUAUGACAUUCCAAAGAACUUUAAUGUUGGCAUCAAGAGCUAAUAUCUCUUGGAAAGUCAUUUUUAUGGUGAAAUAUUAUAGGUCAUUUUGGUUGUGCCAUAGAUGGAAGGAUAACUUCCAAGAACCAUAACUUGCUCAAUAUUUAUGACACGAAGGUCAUCCAUGUUUCAUGGUAAAACUCAGGAUGUCUUCUCUAAC
Molecule: long non-coding RNA, 251 nt
Filed under: Lathyrus oleraceus (garden pea)
Lineage: Eukaryota; Viridiplantae; Streptophyta; Magnoliopsida; Fabales; Fabaceae
Description: Pisum sativum (pea) long non-coding RNA (PSAT_LNC037263)
Source: RNAcentral